Molecule: ribosomal RNA, 439 nt
Filed under: uncultured bacterium
Lineage: Bacteria
Description: partial 16S ribosomal RNA
Rfam family: Bacterial small subunit ribosomal RNA
Source: RNAcentral
CCUACGGGUGGCAGCAGUGGGGAAUAUUGCACAAUGGGCGAAAGCCUGAUGCAGCCACGCCGCGUGAGCGAUGAAGGCCUUCGGGUCGUAAAGCUCUUUCCUCAGGGAGGAUAAUGACGGGACUUGAGGAGGUGGCCACGGCCAGCUACGUGCCAGAGACCGCGGUAAUACGUCGGGGGCUGACGUAAUCCGGAAUUACUGGGCGUAAAGGGUGCGUAGGUGGUGUCUUAGGUCAGAGGGGAAAGGCCACGGCUCAACCGCAGUAAGCCUUUGAAACUGGUGAACUUGAGUGCAGGAGAGGAGAGUGGAAUUCCUAGUGUAGCGGUGAAAUGCGUAGAUAUGAGGAGGAACACCAGUUGCGAAGGCGGCCCUCUGGACUGUAACUGACACUGAGGCACGAAAGCGUGGGGAGCAAACAGGAUUAGAUACCCCUGUAGUC